GUGUAAGUUUAGGGUCGAUAGUUCGAAGCUCUAUGACACAUUUUGAAGCUUAUUUAGUCAUUUCGAAGCCUUCGUCGGAGGUAGGGUGCGACUGGGUUGUCAGUUCUCCUCUCACCGUCCUGAAGGACCUUAUUCCUGUCAAGGGCCGGGCAGCAAACGCGUCCUACGUGAAAGCUUCCUUGUAGCUGGUGGUUGACAUCCAGUGAGGGUACCAGCUUGUGAGUGAGCUUCACCAACCGUUCUUGUGUCUCCUGUUCGUCGGAGGCAGAUGUGUUACCUACCAGAGGAAACUCCAGUGCUGUAGGGAAGCGGAUGUGACCACAGCGGCUCUGUACUGUUACACUCCGCGUUCUGGGUGCAACGAGUUUCCGGCAUCACGCCAGAUCUCCAGUUAUUAAACACGAGUGUGAAUAUGUCGGCACCCUGUGUGCAGGAGUGGUGAUUGACAAUUUGUAUUUUGUGGAAGUGUUAGCUGUUAGGGUUGUUUGAAUGCUUGUGUUUUCGUGAGAUGUGGUUGUGCGUUAUUGAAUGACGGGUGGCGUGAGUAUGAAUAAACUGUGAAUUAGA
Portunus trituberculatus (swimming crab) is the source of this 567-nucleotide long non-coding RNA. RefSeq lists it as uncharacterized. The transcript has 2 exons. NCBI's taxonomy places the organism in Eukaryota, Metazoa, Arthropoda, Malacostraca, Decapoda, Portunidae. The record is from RefSeq and is a predicted model, not a curated record.